UGGGCUUUUGGGUGUUGGACAACCAUAGGCAAAACUGAAAUGGAACAGGGGCAGAAAAUAGCACACUUUUACUCUACGCAACUGUUGCUUUUUCAUGAUCUUCAGGAAUUUUACUGGGAUAAUUAUCCAAAUAAAUUGCAAGCAUUCUAUCCAAAUGUCUGCAGAUGCACGGCUGGUGGUGUGGCUCAGACGGAGCAAGGGUUACAUCAAGGCUAUUCUCUGGACCGUGCAAACAGUCUAGACCAAUGACCUGCAGCAUCAUGUCCUUUGAAGAAGAGGCAAGUUCGGUCAUGAUGAAGAAAAAUCAAGGCGUACCCCUUUUAACAAUAGGGAGCAGCUCGAGGCUGCAAAGAGGAGCUCUUUCUGAGAUGAAGAGAAUUCUCAAUGUCAAGAUUUGAACAAGAAGAGAAUGGAAUACACAAUAUGGACAUCCAUAAAAAUUCAUCAGAGAGCAUUUUACUACUGAGCUGCAAAGGUAGGAAAAAUAAAUUUUUUUUGGUUAGAAAAUAUACUUCUUUCAUCUGCGUUUCAAUAAUUUAUUCCCCUUGUUAGAUAUACAUGGAAUUGAUAUUGCUUAUUCUGACUAAGUGAAAAGUGUUAUUUCUACUUACUGCUCAAUUAGAAACAUGUAGUGUUUAAUUGUCAGUUUGAAUUUUUCUUUCAUACUAUUACAGUUUAUAUUUUACUAUAGGCAGAAUUUCCUCUUUAUCCUAAAUUUUGAUAUUCUCCAUAAUUUCAUCGUGCCUUGACAUUGCUGUAUAUAAUUUCUAUACAUCAGGAAGGCAAUUCUGUGUGCAUGUGUGUGUGUAUAUAUAUAGUUAGAAGUUAGAAACUGAAACUCUUUUUUGUCUACCAUCAUUUCAUAUUUUUCUUGCUAUUUCAAACCUAUAAUUUUUAAAGAAACGACUAACGUAAUCAUUCAUAGAAUAUGCUGUCAGUAACUUAACAAUAUAAAUGUUAACAUGGAGGCAUUUAGUUCAGCAUUUGCUUUACUUAAUAGAGUGCAGAAAAUGUGGCCCUUUUCUCAGUUAGGGUGUAUGUGAAGAUAAAUUUAGAAUUUCUAGACUAGUAAAUACUUCUCUGAUAAUAACUUAAUUAUAGCUAUUUCAAACCAAAUUGUUUAAUUGUGGUGAAUCAUAUGUAAAUUGUUCAGAUGUAGGUCAACACCCACGCCCACAUUCUAGCACCUCUUUCCUAAUUCAAGACAACUUUGCAGUGCCUAAAAGAGCUGAACAGUGCAGAUUAGAGACAUAAGACAAAAAAAAAAAAAAAA
This 1273-nucleotide long non-coding RNA is filed under the name Homo sapiens (human). Its description in RNAcentral is "mir-99a-let-7c cluster host gene". Lineage: Eukaryota; Metazoa; Chordata; Mammalia; Primates; Hominidae. The record is from RNAcentral.